Molecule: ribosomal RNA, 904 nt
Filed under: Barbaria sp. 2 PG-2021b
Lineage: Eukaryota; Metazoa; Tardigrada; Heterotardigrada; Echiniscoidea; Echiniscidae
Description: SSU rRNA
Rfam family: Eukaryotic small subunit ribosomal RNA
Source: RNAcentral
UACAUGGAUAACUGUGGUAAUUCUAGAGCUAAUACAUGCAGCAAGCCUUGACCCUCACGGGCAAGGCGCAGUUAUUAGAUCAAAAACCAAUCGGUUGUAUCUUCGGAUAUAGCCGUUAGCUUGGUGACUCUGAGUAACCACAGCGAACCGUAUGGCCUUGUGCUCGACGGUCUGUCAGUCAAGCAACUGCCUUAUCAGCUUGUUGUUAGGUUAUAUGCCUAACAAGGCUUCAACGGGUAACGAACGAUCGGGGUCGGAUAUCGGAGAGGGAGCUUGAGAAACGGCUACCACUUCCAAGGAAGGCAGCAGGCGCGCAAAUUACCCACUCUCGGCAUGAGGAGGUAGCGAUGAAAUGUAUCGAUGCGGGGCCAUUAGUGCCUUCGUAAUCGGAAUGAGUACACUUUAAAUCCUAUAACGAGGACCUAUUGGAGGGCAAGUCUGGUGCCAGCAGCCGCGGUAAUUCCAGCUCCAAUAGCGUAUAUUAAUGCUGCUGCGGUUAAAAAGCUCGUAGUCGGAUCUGGGUUCCCGGCGGGUACCGCAUGUUGCUUCAUGCAGCAUGUUGUGUACUAUACGUGUCGCUUCGGCGGCACUGCCAGUGUAACGCUGUCUCUUGUAGGCACGUUGCGCUGGUCGCCGGAACCACGGGCCGGGUUGAGCAGCAUGCUCUUAAUUGAGUGUGUUGUUUACUCGGUGCGUUUACUUUGAAAAAAUUGGAGUGCUCAAAGCAAGCGUACAGUCGCUAUGCGGCUUGAACAGUGGUGCAUGGAAUAAUGGAAUAGGGCCUCGGUUCUAUUUUGUUGGUUUUAAGAUAUCGAGGUAAUGAUUAAGAGGGACAGACGGGGACGUUUGUAUUGCGACGUUAGAGGUGAAAUUCUUGGAUCGUCGCAAGACACACUAAUGCGAA